GAGAAUCGGACUCGUCGACACGUCGACACAUUCUAGUUAACGCGAAAUUUCACGCGGAAGCACGCGACGCAAGUGCAAACAUGUGCGAGGAACGGAAGAAACGGGAAGGCCUCUCGCGCGGCGAGACUACCCCACCCUCUCGAUAGGCGAUGACAGCCAAAAGCGCAAACAAACAAACAACCGAUUAAACAAGCGAGCAACAUACACGACGUGCAUCGUCUCGAACGUGUCGAGCGAGGAGAGAGAGAGAACGCUACCUCUCGUGGCGCGAUCAAACCCGAGUCUCGUCGUCGCGGGAUCCGCGAAAAUCAUCUCUAUGUUUACACUCGCGAGAUGUACGCGCGACUGCGGCCGUAAGGUCCAUUUUCACGCACGUUCCGUGACGUUUAAGAUUUUGACAGACUCCCUGUUUAGGACGACGCGCGAGAUAUUCGCGUAAUUCGACCGCCCUGCCGCAUUCCUCGACGAUAAAACCUGGAGAUUCGGAGAACAACAGACGAGGAUCGUCCGAGAAGCGCGACGACCACUUCCCCGAACGUUACGCGAGGAUCCGUUGGCGGCUGUCUCGGCGGCUCGAUGGUACCCUGGCCUCGCGCGAGGUCACCUGGAUGCCCAGGGACUGCCAAGGACCGUUGCACCGACCACUUCAGCAGCACUUCCAGCCUCCGGCGGAGAAGCUGCCGUCCCGUCUCGCGUAAACCUCCAAACACUACGGACAGG
RNAcentral lists this unclassified non-coding RNA (720 nucleotides) under Camponotus floridanus (Florida carpenter ant). RNAcentral describes it as "uncharacterized LOC112639952, transcript variant X2". The record is from RNAcentral. Lineage: Eukaryota; Metazoa; Arthropoda; Insecta; Hymenoptera; Formicidae.